Molecule: ribosomal RNA, 351 nt
Filed under: Anaplasma phagocytophilum
Lineage: Bacteria; Pseudomonadati; Pseudomonadota; Alphaproteobacteria; Rickettsiales; Anaplasmataceae
Description: bacterial SSU rRNA
Rfam family: Bacterial small subunit ribosomal RNA
Source: RNAcentral
UGGCAGACGGGUGAGUAUGCAUAGGAAUCUACCUAGUAGUAUAGGAUAGCCACUAGAAGUGGUGGGUAAUACUGUAUAAUCCCUGCGGGGGAAAGAUUUAUCGCUACAUGAUGAGCCUAUGUUAGAUUAGCUAGUUGGUGGGGUAAAGGCCUACCAAGGCAGUGAUCUAUAGCUGGUCUGAGAGGAUGAUCAGCCACACUGGAACUGAGACACGGUCCAGACUCCUACGGGAGGCAGCAGUGGGGAAUAUUGGACAAUGGGCGAAAGCCUGAUCCAGCUAUGCCGCGUGAGUGAGGAAGGCCUUAGGGUUGUAAAACUCUUUCAGUAGGGAAGAUAAUGACGGUACCUAUA